RNAcentral lists this long non-coding RNA (441 nucleotides) under Triticum aestivum (bread wheat). Its description in RNAcentral is "long non-coding RNA (TAES_LNC000863)". Lineage: Eukaryota; Viridiplantae; Streptophyta; Magnoliopsida; Poales; Poaceae. The record is from RNAcentral.
UGACAUAUUUCAUACACAUACCAUUCUCAGUAAAUUUCACUUCUAUAUGAGUGAAUUUGAGAGAGAAAAUGACUAUUACAAAGGAGUGACAUAUGAAUUUUCAAUUUAAAAGAGUGAAAUAUUCACAUCACGUAUAUAAGUUUCACAAAUCUGCAUUUCACAUCACAUAUAGCAGUUCCACAUAUCUACAUAUCUAUUUCAAUUUCGGAACAACAAUUUAACAUAUAUCACACAAUCUGCUUCAAAUCUUCACUUCAAUUCAAUUUGAGACCUUCACUUCCAUUUGCUGAAUAUUUUGGUAGAUUCCACAACUGAAACAUUUAUAUUUCAAUUUCACAAGCAUGGGGACUUUCCAUCUGGUGGAAAUGCAACGGGGGCAGCUCAAAUCAUAUAGCAUGAAACAAAAAUCAGGAAGUUCAGAGAGAGAGAGAGAGAGAGAGA